Molecule: ribosomal RNA, 941 nt
Filed under: uncultured fungus
Lineage: Eukaryota; Fungi
Description: eukaryotic LSU rRNA
Rfam family: Eukaryotic large subunit ribosomal RNA (bases 593-941)
Source: RNAcentral
GGAAGGAUCAUUACCGAACUGUCAACAGGAGUUGUUGCUGGUCCUCAGACGGGGAUAUGUGCACGCUCUGUUUACACAUCCACUCACACCUGUGCACUCGCCGUAGUUCUAUGGUCUGGAAGACCCAGUCUUCCUUCUGUAGGCCUGCUUUUUUUACAUACACGCUGUAACAAAGUCUUAUGGAAUGUGUUCUGCGUUCAACGCAAUACAGUACAACUUUCAGCAACGGAUCUCUUGGCUCUCGCAUCGAUGAAGAACGCAGCGAAAUGCGAUAAGUAAUGUGAAUUGCAGAAUUCAGUGAAUCAUCGAAUCUUUGAACGCACCUUGCGCCCCUUGGCUAUUCCAAAGGGCAUGCCUGUUUGAGUACCGUGAACACCUCAACUCUCAUGGCUUGCCAUGAUGAGCUUGGACUUUGGGGGUUUUGCCGGCCUUGGGGUCGGCUCCUCUCAAAUAGAUCAGCUUGCCAGUGUUUGGUGGCGUUGCAGGUGUGAUAACUAUCUACGCUUGCGGCUGUCUGCCAGGUAACCUUCAGUAAUGGGGGUUCGCUGGAGCUUACAAACGUCCUUUCCCAGCGAGGACAGCUUUGAACGUUCGAUCUCAAAUCAGGUAGGACUACCCGCUGAACUUAAGCAUAUCAAUAAGCGGAGGAAAAGAAACUAACAAGGAUUCCCCUAGUAACUGCGAGUGAAGCGGGAAGAGCUCAAAUUUAAAAUCUGGCGUCCUCUGGUCGUCCGAGUUGUAGUCUGGAGAAGCGUUUUCCGUGUUGGACCGUGUACAAGUCCCUUGGAACAGGGCGUCGUAGAGGGUGAGAAUCCCGUCUUUGACACGGACUACCAAUGCUCUGUGAUGCGCUCUCAAAGAGUCGAGUUGUUUGGGAAUGCAGCUCAAAAUGGGUGGUAAAUUCCAUCUAAAGCUAAAUACAGGCGAGAGACCGAUAGCGA